Molecule: ribosomal RNA, 226 nt
Filed under: uncultured bacterium
Lineage: Bacteria
Description: partial 16S ribosomal RNA
Rfam family: Bacterial small subunit ribosomal RNA
Source: RNAcentral
UACGUAGGGUGCAAGCGUUGUCCGGAAUUAGUGGGCGUAAAGAGCUCGUAGGCGGUCUGUCGCGUCUGCUGUGAAAACUCGGGGCUUAACCCCGGGCCUGCAGUGGGUACGGGCAGACUAGAGUGCGGUAGGGGAGACUGGAAUUCCUGGUGUAGCGGUGAAAUGCGGCAGAUAUCAGGAGGAACACCGAUGGCGAAGGCAGGUCUCUGGGCAUUAAACUGACGCU